Molecule: ribosomal RNA, 465 nt
Filed under: uncultured bacterium
Lineage: Bacteria
Description: partial 16S ribosomal RNA
Rfam family: Bacterial small subunit ribosomal RNA
Source: RNAcentral
GACGAACGCUGGCGGCGUGCUUAACACAUGCAAGUCGAACGGAAAGGCCCUGCUUGCUGGGUACUCGAGUGGCGAACGGGUGAGUAACACGUGGGUGAUCUGCCCUGCACUUCGGGAUAAGCCUGGGAAACUGGGUCUAAUACCGGAUAGGAGCCAUUUUUAGUGUGAUGGUUGGAAAGUUUUUUCGGUGUAGGAUGAGCUCGCGGCCUAUCAGCUUGUUGGUGGGGUAAUGGCCUACCAAGGCGGCGACGGGUAGCCGGCCUGGGAGGGUGGACGGCCACAGUGGGACUGGGACACGGCCCAGACUCCGACGGGUGGCAGAAGUGGGGAAUAUUGAUCAAGGGGCGCAAGCCUGAUGCAGCGACGCCGCGUGGGGGAUGACGGUCUUGGGGUUGGAAACUCCUUUCGCUAGGGACGAAGCUUUUUGUGACGGUACCUAGAUAAGAAGCACCGGCUAACUACGUG